UACGAAGGGGGGCUAGCGUUGCUCGGAAUGACUGGGCGUAAAGGGCGCGUAGGCGGUUUGGUUCGUUAGGCGUGAAAUUCCUGGGCUUAACCUGGGGGCUGCGCUUAAUACAACCAGGCUUGAGUGUGAAAGAGGGUCGUGGAAUUCCCAGUGUAGAGGUGAAAUUCGUAGAUAUUGGGAAGAACACCGGGUGGCGAAGGCGGCGACCUGGUUCA
Molecule: ribosomal RNA, 215 nt
Filed under: uncultured bacterium
Lineage: Bacteria
Description: partial 16S ribosomal RNA
Rfam family: Bacterial small subunit ribosomal RNA
Source: RNAcentral